GGAUGCGAUCAUACCAGCACUAAAGCACCGGAUCCCCUCAG
Molecule: ribosomal RNA, 41 nt
Filed under: Triticum aestivum (bread wheat)
Lineage: Eukaryota; Viridiplantae; Streptophyta; Magnoliopsida; Poales; Poaceae
Description: partial rRNA
Source: RNAcentral